AACGAACGCUGGCGGCAUGCCUAACACAUGCAAGUCGAACGAGACCUUCGGGUCUAGUGGCGCACGGGUGCGUAACGCGUGGGAAUCUGCCCAAAGGUUCGGAAUAACUCAGGGAAACUUGAGCUAAUACCGGAUAAUGUCGCAAGACCAAAGAUUUAUUGCCUUUGGAUGAGCCCGCGUAGGAUUAGCUAGUUGGUGGGGUAAAAGCCUACCAAGGCGACGAUCCUUAGCUGGCUGAGAGGAUGAUCAGCCACACUGGGACUGAGACACGGCCCAGACUCCUACGGGAGGCAGCAGUGGGGAAUAUUGGACAAUGGGCGAAAGCCUGAUCCAGCAAUGCCGCGUGAGUGAUGAAGGCCUUAGGGUUGUAAAGCUCUUUUACCCGGGAUGAUAAU
RNAcentral lists this ribosomal RNA (395 nucleotides) under uncultured bacterium. Its description in RNAcentral is "bacterial SSU rRNA". It matches the Rfam family "Bacterial small subunit ribosomal RNA", at positions 29 to 452 of the family's 1533-position model. The record is from RNAcentral.